AUGCCCAAAGGUAGGGCUCCGGGACUCGACGGAUUCACAUCCGAGUUCCUCCGCGCCUCUUGGCCCACUAUCAAAGAUGAUUUCAUCACCGCGUUCAAUAAGCUAUACUCGCUCAACGACAUCGGCUUCCAACGGCUGAAUGAGGCGCUGCUCACCCUUCUCCCCAAGAGGCCAGAUGCGUCUUCCCUCUCGGACUAUUGCCCCAUCAGUUUGAUACACCUGUUCGCCAAGCUCUUCGCCAAGGUUCUCUCCCUUCGCCUCGCGCCUAGGCUCGGCAGCAUGAUCUCCACGAACCAGAGCGCAUUCAUCGCGGGCCGCUGCAUCCACGACAACUUUCUUCUCGUGCAAUAG
This 351-nucleotide ribosomal RNA is filed under the name Triticum aestivum (bread wheat). RNAcentral describes it as "partial small subunit ribosomal RNA". Lineage: Eukaryota; Viridiplantae; Streptophyta; Magnoliopsida; Poales; Poaceae. The record is from RNAcentral.